GAUGAACGCUGGCGGCGUGCCUAAUACAUGCAAGUCGAGCGAACAGACGAGGAGCUUGCUCCUUCGACGUUAGCGGCGGACGGGUGAGUAACACGUAGGUAACCUACCUAUAAGACUGGGAUAACUUCGGGAAACCGGAGCUAAUACCGGAUAAUAUUUCGAACCGCAUGGUUCGAUAGUGAAAGAUGGCUUUGCUAUCACUUAUAGAUGGACCUGCGCCGUAUUAGCUAGUUGGUAAGGUAACGGCUUACCAAGGCAACGAUACGUAGCCGACGUGAGAGGGGGAUCGGCCACACUGGAACGGAGACGCGGUCCAGACUCCUGCGGGGGGCAGCAGUAGGGAAUCUGACGCAGUGGGCGAAAGCCUGACGGAGCAACGCCGCGUGAGUGAUGAAGGUCUUCGGAUCGUAAAACUCUGUUAUUAGGGAAGAACAAACGUGUAAGUAACUGUGCACGUCUUGACGGUACCUAAUCAGAAAGCCACGGCUAACUACGUG
This 497-nucleotide ribosomal RNA is filed under the name uncultured bacterium. RNAcentral describes it as "partial 16S ribosomal RNA". It matches the Rfam family "Bacterial small subunit ribosomal RNA", at positions 28 to 507 of the family's 1533-position model. The record is from RNAcentral.